GUCCACGCCCUAAACGAUGUCGACUGGUUGUUGGGAGAGGCAACUUUCUUAGUAACGAAGCUAACGCGUGAAGUCGACCGCCUGGGGAGUACGGCCGCAAGGUUAAAACUCAAAGGAAUUGACGGGACCCGCACAAGCGGUGGAUGAUGUGGAUCAAUUCGAUGCAACGCGAAAAACCUUACCUACCCUUGACAUGUGCGGAAGCCGGAUGAGAGUUCGGUGUGCCCGAAAGGGAGCCGCAACACAGGUGCUGCAUGGCUGUCGU
This 265-nucleotide ribosomal RNA is filed under the name uncultured bacterium. RNAcentral's name for it is "partial 16S ribosomal RNA". It matches the Rfam family "Bacterial small subunit ribosomal RNA", at positions 793 to 1055 of the family's 1533-position model. The record is from RNAcentral.